UAAUCAAUUCUACAUUCACUUAACUGGCGCCUUUCAUAAGCUGCCUAACUAAAUUAUAGAGCCCAGAGCAGAGAGACAGAGAGAGUGUGAGGAGAGACGAGAGUAUUUAGCAGAAAGUGCAGCGCAGCCCAGCAUUUACUGUAACACCAAUGGCCACAUUUAUAUGGCCAGCGCUGCCAUAGAAAGUCAAGCUGACACUGUGGGAACACCCCUUAGUUGAGCUGGCGUGCAGCUAAUUGGAGCAAUGUGUUUGGCCUUUAAAAGGCGACGCUAAUGAUACCAAAAUAGAGGAGAGCGGAGAGCGGCGAAGAGCCAUUAAUAAUUGAACGUGUCGGAGCGAUUUGGUGAAUUCACGACAUUGCCGAAACGAUGAUUGGGCUAUAAUAAUUGUUGAAAUCGGCUAUAGCUACAAAUCGAAUUUGUUAUAAUUGAGUUCUCGAUCAUAAUCAAUGGAAGUGGAGCACUGACGAGGCAAGAACCAGAACACGACUGUUAUUAUAUAAUUGAGACAACUGAAGAGAGAGACUGGGAGAGAGAGAGUUGAUCUCGUUGCCGUUGUGAUUUGUGGCACGUACUUUGGCAGCUGGCACCUGCUUUCAGCUGGCGUGGCCCGCUAACAAAUUAAUAAAUGAUUAUUAUAUUACGCAGGCCG
This is a long non-coding RNA of Drosophila novamexicana, 652 nucleotides long. RefSeq lists it as uncharacterized. NCBI's taxonomy places the organism in Eukaryota, Metazoa, Arthropoda, Insecta, Diptera, Drosophilidae. The transcript is spliced from 3 exons. The record is from RefSeq and is a predicted model, not a curated record.